Molecule: RNA transcript, 2214 nt
Organism: Triplophysa dalaica
Lineage: Eukaryota; Metazoa; Chordata; Actinopteri; Cypriniformes; Nemacheilidae
Gene name: natural killer cell receptor 2B4-like
Exons: 6
Source: RefSeq, a predicted model, not a curated record
UUCCACGAUGAGACCCAAGAAACACGGAUCUGGUUAUAACGCGCUUAAUCCUUAUCGAAGGCGGAAUAAGAAGACUUUAACCGGACGGUAUCGCGAUACCGCUGUAGUGUAGAUUUAUAUUUCGCACAACAGUGUAGACGUCCACUAAAAUGGAUCUCGUUUUUUUCAGUGUACAGGGUGUGGAAUGGAUUACGUGACCUUUCAAGCAUGAAUGUUUUUAAGCAAAACACACUUAUAUUAUUUUGACAGUCGGUAUGAAAGUCAGAACAGUAACAUGGAGAAUCGGAAUUCCACCAGAAAGAAGACAAAUCAACCAGAUCCACUGUUGUCCUCUGAGCUGAAAGGAAGGAUGACUCAUCACACACGGUGUGUUUGGUGAUGCAGAUGAGGUGAAGUCUGUGUCAGGGAUUGAGGGAGAAAAUGUCACUCUACUCACUAAUGUUACUGAACUACAAAGUGCUAAUAUACUGUGGAGCUUUGGACCCCAAGAGAUUCAUAUAGCUGGGAUCCAUAGAGAAGCCAAUGAGAUCUCAAUACAUGAUGAUGUUCUUGAUGGGAGAUUCAAAGACAGACUGCAGGUGGAUAAUCAGACUGGAUCUCUCACCAUCACAAACAUCACAACUCAACACUCUGGGAUUUAUCGAUGGACCAUAUAUAGCAUUAAAGUGACCUCAUACAAAUACAGUCUCAAUGCUCAUGCUCAUCUGCCUGUUCCUGUCAUCAUCAAAAACUCUUCUCAAUGUUCUUCAUCAUCAGAAAGAUCUUCAGUGUCAAAAUGUGUGUUGAUGUGUUCAGUGAUGAAUGUGACACAUGUGAGUCUCUCCUGGUACAAAGGAAACAGUUUAUUGUCCAGCAUCAGUGUGUCUGAUCUCAACAUCAGACUCUCUCUACCUCUGGAGGUGGAAUAUCAGGAUACAAACACAUACAGAUGUGUCAUCAACAAUUCCAUCACAAACCAAACUCAACAUCUCAACAUCACUGAGAUCUGUCCGCCGUGUUCAGGUUUUAAAGAGACUCAUUUUUACCACUGGAUUGUAGGAGGGAUUGUGGUCUUGAUUCUAACAGUAUUGGCAGCAGCAGCACCAGCAGUAGUCAAAUACUGUAAGAAAAGAAAAACAAUACAAGGGGCCAAACAAGCAGAGAUGAUGCCUAUGAAUAUCGAAAAGGAACCCAACACUGAUGAGGUUUCUGGACCACUAGUGACUUCAAAUGGGGUCGAACACUAGUCCAACACCCUCCAUUCUUGUGGUAUAACAAUACCUACUGAAUCUGUUUCUAGCCAGACAAAGUCUUAAGAAGGAUUAACUCAGAACAGUAUUGAUAUUUAAUUUCGGAUUGAGUCAUUUCAUAACUGAGAGAGAUCUAGUGAAAGUGGACUCUAUUAAUAAGAUCUGCAAGCCAUAUACAGAGUAGGGUGUGCACGAAUAUUCGAUCUGCAGUACUUAUUCGAAUAAUAAAAUCGCUAUUCGAAUUUUGCUAAGAUAUUGCUCUGCUGGCCAAGGACGCACAUAAAUACUAAAAGUUAUACGUAUAUGCACUGGGUGGAGCUGUGGAGUGCGCAGUGAAAGUAAGAUGAGUGCAUUUGAUGACAAAAUGCCGUCCUCGACCUGUAAGCGUAGGGCGGGGUUUGGAACUACUUUGUUCAAAAUGAUCAACAUGACAUGUGCAAAAUUUUUCAGGCGAAACUAAGUUAUCAUCAUAGCACCACUUCAAUUAGGAAUUAUAUGAAGUCCAAACAUCCUCCAGAUGAGGAUCCAAUCCAUUGGUGGAACGAAAACACAAUGCGUUUCAGUAAGCUCACAGUCGUUUAGCGCACCGUUAUUUGUGUCCCAGCGACAUCUUUGCGUUUUCUCUGCAGAUGGGCUCAUCGUUAAUAGACUAAGAAGCCGAAUUUCACCCGAUCAUGUCGACAUGCUAGUUUUUUCCCCCAGAAGCAUGUAAAACAAGAUAAGUUAUGCCGACUGAGUUUAAAGCAUAAUGUUAAGGUUAAAGCUAUAUGUACGUUCUGGGGGAAAAAAAAUGCGGCAGCCUGACAUACGUAUUGACGCUUUUUUGUUCGCUCCAAGAUCCUUCUUUUGUUUGCACAAAUUGUCAUUUUCUUCUCAGCUACAAAACAGGGUGACAAUGUAUAAGCUUGUUUUUAUAUACCCUGAUAAGCUUGUUCAGAAAUGAAGAAAAAAAUAUGUUUUACUGAAAAUAAACUUAAUUUAAAUG